AAGCAAGCUCUUUUAUCUGGAGUAAAAAUAAUAAUAAUAAUAAUAAGGAAAAAGAGGGCUGGAGAGAUGACUCAGCGGUUAAGAGUACCAACUGCUCUUCCGAAGGUCGUGAGUUCAAAUCUCAGCAACCACAUGAUGGCUCACAACCAUCCGUAAUGAGAUCUGACGCCUUCUUCUGGGGUGUCUGAAGACAGCUACAGCGAGCAAGUGGAGCCAGAGUGAGAAGAAAAAGUCUAAAGACAGCUACAGUGUACUUACAUAUAAUAAAUAAAUAAAUCUUUUAAAAAAAUAAAAAUAAUUUUAAAAAAAUCUGUCAACAGCCAUAGAAGUAACUUGGGCCUCAAGUGAGACCCUAUUCCAUGGUGGAUGUCACAUUGAUUACAGAUUUGUGAGGUCUGAGCAGAGGAACCUGUGUUGCCAUGCCUAGACUCCAGGCAAAAAUGGUAAAUAGCAAAUGCUUGCUAUUCCAAAGCUGCUGUGUUCCUGGGAAUUUGGAAUGCCCUACCACGCAAGUGCUGGGGAUGUGAGGACCCCAGGGGCAAGCACAGCCCUGUCCUAGGGACUCAAACAAGAAAGGGGUGAUUACAUGUUAUCAGAUAAAAAUGGCAUCACCGCAGCAAGCCUACAUUCUCCCCUGAAGCUUCCUUGCUCCGAUGGCUGCCAGGAAGGGAACAGACACUGCACUCCAGGCAGUUUAGAGGUCAGAGACCAGGAAGUCCCUUCCAGGAAAGCAAGAAAAGGAAAACCAAGCCCAUAAAGUUCCAACAAGACGCAGAGAGGAAAUGGAGGGAAAACCACCUGGUCUUGUCUCCAUGACUCCUUCUUCAGCACCAUGUUUGCCUGGAUGCUGCCAUGUUUCCUUCUAUGACGAUAAUGGACUAAAUCUCUAAAACUAUAAGCCAGCUUUAAUUAAAUGUUUGUCUUU
RNAcentral lists this long non-coding RNA (925 nucleotides) under Mus musculus (house mouse). Its description in RNAcentral is "long non-coding RNA chr14:76056082-76057007". Lineage: Eukaryota; Metazoa; Chordata; Mammalia; Rodentia; Muridae. The record is from RNAcentral.